RNAcentral lists this unclassified non-coding RNA (253 nucleotides) under uncultured Chitinophagales bacterium. RNAcentral's name for it is "contains 16S-23S intergenic spacer region". It matches the Rfam family "Bacterial small subunit ribosomal RNA", at positions 524 to 776 of the family's 1533-position model. The record is from RNAcentral. Lineage: Bacteria; Pseudomonadati; Bacteroidota; Chitinophagia; Chitinophagales.
UACGGAGGGUGCAAGCGUUAUCCGGAAUCACUGGGUUUAAAGGGUGCGUAGGCGGCGUCAUAAGUCAGAGGUGAAAGCCUGCAGCUUAACUGUAGAAUUGCCUUUGAUACUGUGGUGCUUGAAUAAGGAUGAGGUAAGCGGAAUGUGGCAUGUAGCGGUGAAAUGCUUAGAUAUGCCAUAGAACACCGAUUGCGAAGGCAGCUUACUGGACCUUUAUUGACGCUGAGGCACGAAAGCUAGGGUCUCGAACCGG